UGAUGUCACCACACUGCUAUAUGGAA
This 26-nucleotide non-coding RNA is filed under the name Homo sapiens (human). Lineage: Eukaryota; Metazoa; Chordata; Mammalia; Primates; Hominidae. The record is from RNAcentral.